UACGUAGGGGGCAAGCGUUGUCCGGAUUUACUGGGCGUAAAGCGCCUGUAGGCGGCCUGUCAAGUCCGGCCUGAAAGCCCCCCGCUCAACGGGGGAGGGUGGCUGGAAACUGGCAGGCUUGAGGGCGAGAGAGGAGGGUGGAAUUCCUGGUGUAGCGGUGAAAUGCGUAGAGAUCAGGAGGAACACCAGUGGCGAAGGCGGCUUUCUGGACGGUAACUGACGCUGAGACGCGAAGGCGUGGGGAGCAAACAGG
RNAcentral lists this ribosomal RNA (253 nucleotides) under uncultured bacterium. Its description in RNAcentral is "partial 16S ribosomal RNA". It matches the Rfam family "Bacterial small subunit ribosomal RNA", at positions 524 to 776 of the family's 1533-position model. The record is from RNAcentral.